GAAUAUUGGACAAUGGGCGAAAGCCUGAUCUAGCCAUGCCGCGUGUGUGAAGAGGGUCUCCGGAUUGUAAAGCACUUUAAGUUGGGAGGAAGGGGUUGAAGCUAAUACCUUUAAUCUUUGACGUUACCAACAGAAUAAGCACCGGCUAACUCCUUGCCAGCAGCCGCGGUAAUAAAGAGGGUGCAAGCGUUAAUCGGAAUUACUGGGCGUAAAGCGCGCGUAGGUGGUUCAGUAAGAUGGGUGUGAAAUCCCCGGGCUUAACCUGGGAACUGCUUUCAUAACUGCUGAGCUAGAGUACGGUAGAGGGUAGUGGAAUUUCCUGUGUAGCGGUGAAAUGCGUAGAUAUAGGAAGGAACACCAGUGGCGAAGGCGACUACCUGGACUGAUACUGACACUGAGGUGCGAAAGCGUGGGGAGCAAACAGG
This 425-nucleotide ribosomal RNA is filed under the name uncultured bacterium. RNAcentral describes it as "partial 16S ribosomal RNA". It matches the Rfam family "Bacterial small subunit ribosomal RNA", at positions 359 to 776 of the family's 1533-position model. The record is from RNAcentral.